AGUGAACGCUGGCGGUAGGCCUAACACAUGCAAGUCGAACGGCAGCACAGGAGAGCUUGCUCUCUGGGUGGCGAGUGGCGGACGGGUGAGGAAUACAUCGGAAUCUACUCUGUCGUGGGGGAUAACGUAGGGAAACUUACGCUAAUACCGCAUACGACCUACGGGUGAAAGCAGGGGACCUUCGGGCCUUGCGCGAUUGAAUGAGCCGAUGUCGGAUUAGCUAGUUGGCGGGGUAAAGGCCCACCAAGGCGACGAUCCGUAGCUGGUCUGCGAGGAUGAUCAGCCACACUGGAACUGAGCCACGGUCCAGACUCCUACGGGAGGCAGCAGUGGGGAAUAUUGGACAAUGGGCGCAAGCCUCAUCCAGCCAUACCGCGUGGGUGAAGAAGGCCUUCGGGUUGUAAAGCCCUUUUGUUGGGAAAGAAAUCAAGCUGGCUAAUACCCGGUUGGGAUGACGGUACCCAAAGAAUAAGCACCGGCUAACUUCGUGCCAGCCGCCGCCGUAA
RNAcentral lists this ribosomal RNA (506 nucleotides) under uncultured bacterium. Its description in RNAcentral is "partial 16S ribosomal RNA". It matches the Rfam family "Bacterial small subunit ribosomal RNA", at positions 29 to 523 of the family's 1533-position model. The record is from RNAcentral.